Molecule: non-coding RNA, 1216 nt
Organism: Nicotiana tabacum (common tobacco)
Lineage: Eukaryota; Viridiplantae; Streptophyta; Magnoliopsida; Solanales; Solanaceae
Source: RefSeq, a predicted model, not a curated record
CAAUUUUUUAAUCUCAACCCUUACAUUGGGUUUUCCCUCUUUGGGCCACAUACGUCGAAGCAAUAAUCGCGAGCAUGGGGAUUCCGGGUGAAACUUUAUUCUCCCGGUGAAACUUUAUUGUCAUAACAGUUGGAUUUAUGUUUAGAAGAAAGAAGUGAAAAAGGAGAAUAACAUCUGUAAUCGGUGCUUCCAACAUUUAUAGCAUGUGCAUCAACAAAAGGAAGUAUUUUUCUGAUGAUUUUGUUUGAUAGAACAAUGAGAAUUCAGGAGAAGAUAUGGAGGAGGAAAAUCUGAUGUGUAAAGAUGAUGGUAAGAUAGGAGUGACUAAAGUGGAACUGCCGAGACAAAUGAAGAUUGAGGUGCAUGAUUGAGACCAUAUGAAAUGGUUCAAGGUGUCCCUUAGUACAUAAAUCAUUGUUCAUCUCUUAAGCAUGAACGGGGGCGGAUCUACAUGCUGAUUUUGGGUGCUCAAGAACCCAUUAUUUUUGACAAGAUUUUGUAAAUUUGUAUAGUGAGCACCCACGACUUUAAAAUCCUGGAUCCGCCACUGAGCAUGAAGUUAUUUUAUUGUAUCAACAACUUUUGGUAGUUCUCUGCCUCUCACAUUGGGUUCCUGAACUUUGCGAUAUAGUAUAUCUGAGCACUUUUUGGACAAAGCAACAGUACCUGAAAACUAUAAUCCUCAAAUCUUUUCAAGCAUUCAGUCCCCCUUUAAUAUGUUGCCUGGGUAUCAGUGAUGGCCAUCUUGCAGCACCAAAGAGCUGUGAGAUGUAACAAGAAUUGUUCACAUAAUAUGAUGAGGUUUAGAGCAGCUUAGAUACAUGGGUUCACAAGAAAAUCUUGUGAAGGACACAUAUGUCUAUGGUUUUGAGAAUUCAUUUGCUAUUCAACAUAUGGCUAUUCAUCUCUUUUGCAAUGGUUUUGAUGUUAAUCAACAUGCACAAUCUAGAACUGAAAAAAUACUUUUAUGCUGACUUUAUUGUAUGGGUCCAAAUUUGACCGACCCCGACCUAUGACGAGCACGACAAACGACCGAGUACCUUCGAAUCGACGCCCCAAGGGAGACGACCUUAAGGCAAAAGAAGAAACUGUACGACCCUUGUAGUAAUGUAAGCCCAUUAGGGGACAUUAGGAAUAUUUCGCCGCAUAUUCCUUGUAUUUGGUUUCUUACAAUUCAGAAGGGUUUUUCUCUAGUAUAUAAAGGAAACAAAAGACC